RNAcentral lists this ribosomal RNA (212 nucleotides) under uncultured Syntrophus sp. Its description in RNAcentral is "partial 16S ribosomal RNA". It matches the Rfam family "Bacterial small subunit ribosomal RNA", at positions 1171 to 1382 of the family's 1533-position model. The record is from RNAcentral. Lineage: Bacteria; Pseudomonadati; Thermodesulfobacteriota; Syntrophia; Syntrophales; Syntrophaceae.
AAGUGGGGAUGACGUCAAGUCCUCAUGGCCUUUAUGCCCAGGGCUACACACGUGCUACAAUGGGUGGUACAAAGAGCAGCCAGCUCGCGAGAGUGAGCAAAUCUCAAAAAGCCAUCCUCAGUUCGGAUUGAAGUCUGCAACUCGACUUCAUGAAGUUGGAAUCGCUAGUAAUCGCGGAUCAGCAUGCCGCGGUGAAUACGCUCCCGGGCCUU